GAUGAACGCUGGCGGCGUGCCUAAUACAUGCAAGUCGAGCGAACAGACGAGGAGCUUGCUCCUCUGACGUUAGCGGCGGACGGGUGAGUAACACGUGGAUAACCUACCUAUAAGACUGGGAUAACUUCGGGAAACCGGAGCUAAUACCGGAUAAUAUAUUGAACCGCAUGGUUCAAUAGUGAAAGACGGUUUUGCUGUCACUUAUAGAUGGAUCCGCGCCGCAUUAGCUAGUUGGUAAGGUAACGGCUUACCAAGGCAACGAUGCGUAGCCGACCUGAGAGGGGGAUCAGCCACACUGGAACUGAGACACGGUCCAGACUCCUACGGGAGGCAGCAGUAGGGAAUCUUCCGCAAUGGGCGAAAGCCUGACGGAGCAACGCCGCGUGAGUGAUGAAGGUCUUCGGAUCGUAAAACUCUGUUAUUAGGGAAGAACAAAUGUGUAAGUAACUAUGCACGUCUUGACGGUACCUAAUCAGAAAGCCACGGCUAACUACGUG
Molecule: ribosomal RNA, 497 nt
Filed under: uncultured bacterium
Lineage: Bacteria
Description: partial 16S ribosomal RNA
Rfam family: Bacterial small subunit ribosomal RNA
Source: RNAcentral